Molecule: unclassified non-coding RNA, 1656 nt
Filed under: uncultured fungus
Lineage: Eukaryota; Fungi
Description: sequence contains 18S rRNA gene, ITS1, 5.8S rRNA gene, ITS2, 28S rRNA gene
Rfam family: Eukaryotic large subunit ribosomal RNA (bases 691-1656)
Source: RNAcentral
AGCUGGAUCAUUUUCCGAUAUCCAAAACUUUUUCAAAAAAAACCCACAGGGUCCCCGCCUCCCGGCCUUUAUGAGGGGGAGGUAUCACGGGCGAGACCACCAAAACAACCACAAAUUCGUGCGCCUCAUGUGCGCUACGGAUCUGCCUCUCGGAGCGCGACGCCUCUCUGUGUGUGCGCGCCGAGCACGGCUUCCACAACGUGUCGCGAUGGAUGACUUGGCUUCCCAUUUCGUUGAAGAACGCAGCAAAGUGCGAUAAGUGGUAUCAAUUGCAGAAUCACCCAGUACCGAAUCUUUGAACGCAAAAGGCGCCCGAGAGAAGCUGUUCACCAGCGAACCUCGUGCAUGCCGCAACUCUCAGUGUCGAACAAAAAACAACUGCGCCCGCAGGAGGAAGGCUCGUUCUUCUCUUUUUGUGGGGUCCCGCAGACGAGAGCCCUGGACCUCGCGCUCAGACUCACCUCUGGGCGCGGCCAGGCGGCUGCCGGCGCGUGCGCUGUUUUACAGCAUGCGAGCCACAAACAGGCAGCAAGAGGCUCCCCGUGCGCGCGUGCGAUAGUGGUUCACUCCAUUUUCGUGCGUCGUGUGCGCAGCCAACAAGCGAAACAAAAAGCCAAUGCAAAUUGCGUCUUUUUCGUUCUCUCUCAACCAACGAGCGUGAAAGAACUCACCUUCUUUCCCUCCGUUCACAGACCUGAGUGCGGCAGGACUACCCGCUUAACUUAAGCAUAUUACUCAGCGGAGGAAAAGAAAACAACCGUGAUUCCCUCAGUCAGCGGCGAGCGAAGAGGGACCGAACUCGAUGCCGAAUCGGGCCUCAACGGCCUUGAGUUGUGGCAGACGACCCUCGGUGGAUGGUGCGGGACUGGCGAAAUUCAAUGUGCAAAGCAAACCCUGCUGAACACAACCCUUCAUGUGAGUAUUGAGCCAUAGAAGGUGGUAGCCCAUUGAGCCAGGAGCCCGAGCGCCUAAUUGUGGGCUCACAGCGAGUAGCACUGCUUGGGAAUGCAGUGUCAAGCGGCAGGUAUUUGUCUGCCAAGGUUAAACACAGAGUGGGAAGACCGAUAUCGAACAAGUAGCGUGAGCGAAAGUUUGAAAAGCACUUUGGAAAGAGAGUGACAUAGAACCUGAAGUCGUGACAAUGACAAUGGAAGUACCUCCAUUUCUCUGGCCAAAACCAGCCCUACAGCAUUCUCCGGCGUGGCCUUGGCCGCGUCGGGCAACAAGUGCCGACAAGGGGCUCUGGUGAAACGAGCGGAGAUAAAGUUGGGAGCACAGCCUAGCUGCGAGCCCCGUCUUCUCCGUGAUGCUCAAUGUUGGCAAACCGAAAUGGGGUGCCUUCACCCGUCUUGAAACACGGACCAAGGAGUCAAACAGACGCGCAAGGGAGAAGAUAUCGUUGCCAGUACUUCUCUCGUACUGAAAGGGUUUCCUUUUGGUGUGCACACAACACGAAUGCCCAACACCGACCGGCCCCCCGUGGGUUGAGUUUGAGUGUGCCUGUUUGGACCCGAAAGGUGGUGAACUAUGCCUGAACAAGGUGAAGCCCGGGGAAACCCAGGUGGAGGCCUGUAGCGAUGCUGACGUGCAAAUCGCUCGCAUGAUUUGGGUAUCGGAGCGAAAGACUCAUCGAACCACCUAGUAGCUGGUUCACAU